Molecule: ribosomal RNA, 17 nt
Filed under: Phytophthora megakarya
Lineage: Eukaryota; Oomycota; Peronosporomycetes; Peronosporales; Peronosporaceae
Description: 28S rRNA
Source: RNAcentral
UUGGACCUGAUAUCAGU